RNAcentral lists this unclassified non-coding RNA (207 nucleotides) under plant metagenome. Its description in RNAcentral is "partial contains small subunit ribosomal RNA, internal transcribed spacer 1, and 5.8S ribosomal RNA". The record is from RNAcentral.
UUUCCGUAGGUGAACCUGCGGAAGGAUCAUUCAUAAUAAGUGUUUUAUGGCACUUUUUUAAAUACCUAUCCACCUUGUGUCCAAUGUCAGGGUUGGUCUCUUUUUAUCAGCCCCAAACACCAACUAUUAUCUCAACUCUUUGUCUGAAAAAUAUUAUGAAUAAAAAAAUUCAAAAUACAACUUUCAACAACGGAUCUCUUGGCUCUC